Long non-coding RNA from Gasterosteus aculeatus aculeatus (three-spined stickleback), 1353 nucleotides. The record is from Ensembl. Lineage: Eukaryota; Metazoa; Chordata; Actinopteri; Perciformes; Gasterosteidae.
AGCGAGGGGAGAGGGAAAGACAGAGGGAGAGAGGAAGGGAGAGAGAUAGAGAGAGAGAGAGAGAGAGGGUAAAGAGACUGGGGCAGAUAAAAAAAGGGAUAGAUGGGAAAACAGCAGACCAGGGCUGUAUUUAUUGGGGGUGUGAGUGGCGCGCUGUAGGCUGUGGGAUGGUAGGCAGAGUGUAAGGUGUUGCUGUUAGGUGUGGUGGGGUUUCCAGAAAUGGAAGAGCAUGCAUAGAGAAAAAAAAAAAAAAGAGGGAGAGAUGGAAGGAUUGGUCAUGCGCAAGGUCUGAGGAGCAGAGCGAAUUGUGUCUGAAAGGGGAUGAUACCCAUCGGAAUGCUAAUGGUGCCGAAUAUUUCAGAGACCGCAGGCCGUUGGAGGCAGCUUAGAAAUCUCUUACAUCUGGAAGAGCCAUAAUUCACGGGAUUUGGCCCAACAGCCGUGACAGGCAUUGGGGCGGCCAGCAGCAACUGUCUCCCGUGUUAGCGGCGAGUGUGUGAGAGGGAGACGGCGAGUGAGAGACAAAGAGUGACAAAUACACAGCGUGCGUCCACUUGGACCUGCAUGUGUGCGCAGUAACCGGGUAUGUUACGAAAGUACGGCACCGCGCGUUAAGCUACUUCCUGCAAGACCGGUAGUCCACGACACUUAUUACAUUAUUUCACAGCUGUUGUUACUUUGUGGAUCAACACAUAGCGUGUCGCAUUACUAUAUUUGAUGUGAUGUCAGUCAGCAUCAUCGACACACACGUAACAAUGCAUCAAUCAUUUUGAUCCAAUAACAAAAAUCUAACAAUAGUGUGUAACAACAUUAGACUUGAAAAGGGGACCAUUUGGCAUCGUUUGUAUUUUUUAUACCUUUGUUUUAUUUUUCCUUAUUCAACAUACUGCAUAUUUUACUUGAGCAAAAGUUCUAGACAUUUCUUCUACCAGAUGUCGUACAAACUCUCACUAAAUUGUGCAAUCCGUGAGAAGAAAAAAGAAAAGGUUUUUCUGAGACGUGUAAUAAAAAAAAAAAGAAAUCCACAAUGUUGUCCAUGUAUCCGGCAAUGUGCACAAACGAUUAUACACUUUCGCACACACGUAUGCACACACACACACUCAUCCGAAAGACAUGCGGCAGAAACAAAGCAGCGGCGCCCGUGUGUUUCAUGGCGUGCCAGAGGCUGCCUGCGUCGGCCCUAAAUAUUACACACAGACAGUAGCUAUCACUUCCAAGCCUGAAAUCCCACAUUCCACAUUCCUGAUUCCAGCGGCUCGCCUGCUAAGCUGGGCACCACAUGAAGAGCCAUUGUUAGAGAGAGACGGGUCAUGUGUCUCUCUCGCUCUGUGUCUGUCUGUCUGUCUGUCUGUC